Molecule: transfer RNA, 73 nt
Filed under: Aptenodytes forsteri (emperor penguin)
Lineage: Eukaryota; Metazoa; Chordata; Aves; Sphenisciformes; Spheniscidae
Rfam family: tRNA
About the family: Transfer RNA (tRNA) molecules are approximately 80 nucleotides in length. Their secondary structure includes four short double-helical elements and three loops (D, anti-codon, and T loops). Further hydrogen bonds mediate the characteristic L-shaped molecular structure. tRNAs have two regions of fundamental functional importance: the anti-codon, which is responsible for specific mRNA codon recognition, and the 3' end, to which the tRNAs corresponding amino acid is attached (by aminoacyl-tRNA synthetases). tRNAs cope with the degeneracy of the genetic code in two manners: having more than one tRNA (with a specific anti-codon) for a particular amino acid; and 'wobble' base-pairing, i.e. permitting non-standard base-pairing at the 3rd anti-codon position.
Source: Rfam by way of RNAcentral
GGGGAUGUAGCUCAGCGGGUAGAGCGCUUGCUUUGCAUGUAAGAGGCCCUGGGUUCAACCCCCAGCAUCUCCA